This is a non-coding RNA of Sesamum indicum (sesame), 1081 nucleotides long. Lineage: Eukaryota; Viridiplantae; Streptophyta; Magnoliopsida; Lamiales; Pedaliaceae. The record is from RefSeq and is a predicted model, not a curated record.
CGAUGUUCAAUCAGCUGAAAUAUAUAUAUCCAAGUUCACACGCAAUACAUACAUACACACAAAUCUCAUAUAUACAAUCCAGAGCACAAGUUCUUGAACCUUCAUUUCAAUAGUGGAAAAAGAAUAAGAGAGAGAGAGAGAGAAGAGAGAGAGAGAGCCAAAAGGGCUCGCUGGAAAUGUAUAUGGUAUUCAAGCCUUUGAUCAUCGGCGGAGAGAUUGUUGAGGAAGAAGGUGGUAAGUGGGAGAAAGAAAGAUAGAGAGCAACAGAAUCCAGUGGAUUUUCAAGAUUAUUCAUCAGUUGCCAAACACACAAAGAUUUGUUUGCAUUGGUAAUGGAAAUUGCACAACAAACAGCAGCAGCGGUGAUGAAGGGAAUUACUAAUGUCGCAUAUGCCAAAUGCGAGUGCUGCGGGCUGACGGAGGAGUGCACGGAGGAAUACAUAAAGCGUGUCCGCGACCGUUAUUGGGGGCGGUGGAUAUGCGGGCUGUGUGGGGAGGCGGUGAAGGAUGAGAUAGUGAGAUCGGAGAACAGGAUUGGAAAUGAGGAGGCCCUGAAUCAGCACAUGAGCUUUUGCAACAAGUUGAGGAGGCCGCCAAAGAAUCCUACUGAAGAACUGAUUUGUGCGGUGAAGCAGCUGGUUCUGAGGAGCUUGGAUUCGCCCCGCUCCAUGAGGACGCCCCGUCUGCUUCCAUCCCAAACCUCUCGACCUGCGCCUCAAAAUUAGUUAGUUGUUGGAGGAGUGUUUGUUUAAUGUUUAAUUUUUAAUUGGAAGCACAGAACACAUAUGUGUGUUUACUGUUUCAUGUGAUUGUGUGAUCCUGAUGCUGGUUUGGGUUAAGUGGGAGAAUGACUAAGAUGAAGGCAAUAAUAGUUUAGAUGAAGGAGAGUGGCAUCAGGAUAAGGAUACGUAGUAUACUAUAUUCCUUUGUAUUUAAUCAUUACAUGGGCACGUUCUAAGAGGAGCAGCAGUUUAAGCUUAAGACAUUGUUCAUGUACUACUCCCUACGUACAUUUGUAUUUUGUACGUACAGCGACAGCAAGGAUUUAAUUGUGUACUACAUUCAUCUUCUCACUAAUUCA